Molecule: ribosomal RNA, 485 nt
Filed under: uncultured bacterium
Lineage: Bacteria
Description: partial 16S ribosomal RNA
Rfam family: Bacterial small subunit ribosomal RNA
Source: RNAcentral
AUUGAACGCUGGCGGCAUGCCUUACACAUGCAAGUCGAACGGCAGCACGGGUGCUUGCACCUGGUGGCGAGUGGCGAACGGGUGAGUAAUACAUCGGAACAUGUCCUGUAGUGGGGGAUAGCCCGGCGAAAGCCGGAUUAAUACCGCAUACGAUCUACGGAUGAAAGCGGGGGACCUUCGGGCCUCGCGCUAUAGGGUUGGCCGAUGGCUGAUUAGCUAGUUGGUGGGGUAAAGGCCUACCAAGGCGACGAUCAGUAGCUGGUCUGAGAGGACGACCAGCCACACUGAGACUGAGACACGGCCCAGACUCCUACGGGAGGCAGCAGUGGGGAAUUUUGGACAAGGGGCGAAAGCCUGAGCCAGCAAUGCCGCGUGUGUGAAGAAGGCCUUCGGGUUGUAAAGCACUUUUGUCCGGAAAGAAAUCCUUGGCCCUAAUACGGUCGGGGGAUGACGGUACCGGAAGAAUAAGCACCGGCUAACUACGU